Molecule: ribosomal RNA, 252 nt
Filed under: uncultured bacterium
Lineage: Bacteria
Description: partial 16S ribosomal RNA
Rfam family: Bacterial small subunit ribosomal RNA
Source: RNAcentral
UACGUAGGGGGCAAGCGUUGUCCGGAAUUAUUGGGCGUAAAGCGCGCGCAGGCGGCUGUUUAAGUCGGGUGUUUAACCCCAGAGCUCAACUCUGGGUCGCACCCGAAACUGGACGGCUUGAGUGCAGGAGAGGAAAGCGGAAUUCCACGUGUAGCGGUGAAAUGCGUAGAGAUGUGGAGGAACACCAGUGGCGAAGGCGGCUUUCUGGCCUGUAACUGACGCUGAGGCGCGAAAGCGUGGGGAGCAAACAGG